AGUGAACGCUGGCGGUAGGCCUAACACAUGCAAGUCGAACGGCAGCACAGUAAGAGCUUGCUCUUACGGGUGGCGAGUGGCGGACGGGUGAGGAAUACAUCGGAAUCUACUUUUUCGUGGGGGAUAACGUAGGGAAACUUACGCUAAUACCGCAUACGACCUACGGGUGAAAGCAGGGGAUCUUCGGACCUUGCGCGAUUGAAUGAGCCGAUGUCGGAUUAGCUAGUUGGCGGGGUAAAGGCCCACCAAGUCGACGAUCCGUAGCUGGUCUGAGAGGAUGAUCAGCCACACUGGAACUGAGACACGGUCCAGACUCCUACGGGAGGCAGCAGUGGGGAAUAUUGGACAAUGGGCGCAAGCCUGAUCCGGCCAUACCGCGUGGGUGAAGAAGGCCUUCGGGUUGUAAAGCUCUUUUGUUGGGAAAGAAAAGCAGCAGGUUAAUACCCCGCUGUUCUGACGGUACCCAAAGAAUAAGCACCGGCUAACUUCGUG
RNAcentral lists this ribosomal RNA (492 nucleotides) under uncultured bacterium. RNAcentral describes it as "partial 16S ribosomal RNA". It matches the Rfam family "Bacterial small subunit ribosomal RNA", at positions 29 to 507 of the family's 1533-position model. The record is from RNAcentral.